AGAGUUUGAUCCUGGCUCAGGAUGAACGCUAGCGGCAGGCCUAAUACAUGCAAGUCGAGGGGUAACAGGAAGUGCUUGCGCUUCGCUGACGACCGGCGCACGGGUGAGUAUCGCGUAUACAAUCUGCCUCAUACUAGGGAAUAGCCCGAAGAAAUUUGGAUUAAUGCCCUAUAGUAUCUUUUUAAGGCAUCUUAUUAAGAUUAAAGGUUACGGUAUGAGAUGAGUAUGCGUUCUAUUAGCUAGUAGGUGUGGUAACGGCACACCUAGGCUACGAUAGAUAGGGGCCCUGAGAGGGGGAUCCCCCACACUGGUACUGAGACACGGACCAGACUCCUACGGGAGGCAGCAGUAAGGAAUAUUGGUCAAUGGACGAAAGUCUGAACCAGCCAUGCCGCGUGCAGGAUGACUGCCCUAUGGGUUGUAAACUGCUUUUAUAUAGGAAGAAAAACUUUCUCGUGAGAAAGCUUGACGGUACUAUAAGAAUAAGGAUCGGCUAACUCCGUGCCAGCAGCCGCGGUAAUACGGAGGAUCCAAGCGUUAUCCGGAAUCAUUGGGUUUAAAGGGUCCGUAGGUGGACAAAUAAGUCAGAGGUGAAAUCCUGCAGCUCAACUGUAGAACUGCCUUUGAUACUGUUUGUCUUGAGUUAUUAUGAAGUGGUUAGAAUGUGUAGUGUAGCGGUGAAAUGCAUAGAUAUUACACAGAAUACCGAUUGCGAAGGCAGAUCACUAAUAAUCAACUGACACUGAUGGACGAAAGCGUGGGUAGCGAACAGGAUUAGAUACCCUGGUAGUCCACGCCGUAAACGAUGGUCACUAGCUGUUUGGACUUCGGUCUGAGUGGCUAAGCGAAAGUGAUAAGUGACCCACCUGGGGAGUACGUUCGCAAGAAUGAAACUCAAAGGAAUUGACGGGGGCCCGCACAAGCGGUGGAGCAUGUGGUUUAAUUCGAUGAUACGCGAGGAACCUUACCAGGGCUUAAAUGUUAGGUGACAGAUCUAGAAAUAGAUUUUUCUUCGGACAC
RNAcentral lists this ribosomal RNA (1020 nucleotides) under uncultured Bacteroidota bacterium. RNAcentral's name for it is "bacterial SSU rRNA". It matches the Rfam family "Bacterial small subunit ribosomal RNA", at positions 8 to 1029 of the family's 1533-position model. Lineage: Bacteria; Pseudomonadati; Bacteroidota. The record is from RNAcentral.